Molecule: ribosomal RNA, 356 nt
Filed under: uncultured bacterium
Lineage: Bacteria
Description: bacterial SSU rRNA
Rfam family: Bacterial small subunit ribosomal RNA
Source: RNAcentral
AGAGUUUGAUCAUGGCUCAGGACGAACGCUAGCUACAGGCUUAACACAUGCAAGUCGAGGGGAAACGAUAUUGGAAGCUUGCUUUUGAUGGGCGUCGACCGGCGCACGGGUGAGUACCGCGUAUCCAACCUGCCCACCACUUGGGGAUAACCUUGCGAAAGUAAGACUAAUACCCAAUGAUAUCUCUAGAAGACAUCUGAAAGAGAUUAAAGAUUUAUCGGUGAUGGAUGGGGAUGCGUCUGAUUAGCUUGUUGGCGGGGUAACGGCCCACCAAGGCAACGAUCAGUAGGGGUUCUGAGAGGAAGGUCCCCCACAUUGGAACUGAGACACGGUCCAAACUCCUACGGGAGGCAGCA